Molecule: ribosomal RNA, 442 nt
Filed under: uncultured bacterium
Lineage: Bacteria
Description: partial 16S ribosomal RNA
Rfam family: Bacterial small subunit ribosomal RNA
Source: RNAcentral
CCUACGGGAGGCAGCAGUGGGGAAUAUUGGGCAAUGGGCGCAAGCCUGACCCAGCAACGCCGCGUGAAGGAAGAAGGCUUUCGGGUUGUAAACUUCUUUUGACAGGGAAGAGUAGAAGACGGUACCUGUCGAAUAAGCGACGGCUAACUACGUGCCAGCAGCCGCGGUAAUACGUAGGUGGCAAGCGUUGUCCGGAUUUACUGGGUUUAAAGGGCGUGUAGCCGGGUUGACAAGUCAGAUGUGAAAUCCUGGGGCUUAACCGCAGAACUGCAGUUGAAACUGUCGAUCUUGAGUACUGGAGAGGCAGACGGAAUGCCUAGUGUAGCGGUGAAAUGCUUAGAUAUUAGGAGGAACACCAGUGGCGAAGGCAGUAUGCUGGACAGCAACUGACGGUGAGGCACGAAAGCGUGGGGAGCAAACAGGAUUAGAUACCCCAGUAGUC